Long non-coding RNA from Neofelis nebulosa (Clouded leopard), 629 nucleotides. RefSeq lists it as uncharacterized. The transcript is spliced from 2 exons. The record is from RefSeq and is a predicted model, not a curated record. Lineage: Eukaryota; Metazoa; Chordata; Mammalia; Carnivora; Felidae.
AGGAAGCUCUAAUGAUUUUUCCUCCUCAUAUUACAAAUACCCCACACAGGGUCAUAAUCCAAUAAAAUGAAUGAGUAACUAGAUGUAUAGUCUUCUGGUUUACCCAGGAGAAGAGGUAACAUGGACCUUUUCACUCUGACAUGAUCCUGCUAAGUCCACCAGAUUGAGUAGAGAGGUCCGUAUAUUCACAGUCUCAUUGCUUUUCUCCAUUGACUCUAUUGUAAUUGUAAACACUGCAUGAGACCGAGAAGAUUCUCUAUUCAUUGAUGUUGAUGCCACACGUCUGUUUCUCCACCCUCCAGACAGCACCUAGGCAACAGGGAAAUAUAUUGUCACAACUUCCAAGUGACACAACAGCCACUAUCCUCAGUAUGAAAUUUUGUAAAGGACAACGAGAAGAAAUAUUGGUCCAUCGAGGAACACACUCAAGUUACUCUCCCCUUUCUGGUUCCCUCUCCAUGUUACGGAAAGAGAACAAAUAGGAAAUCAGCAGGCUGAGGAUCCAGAACUAGUUUUGCUGUUCUCGAUUUGUACUAACUUAAUGCAAAUCAUAAAAUCUCUCUCAAUCCUUUUGCCUAGAUAAUGAGAAAGUUAGACAAAAUAAAUCUCAAAAUUACCUUCAAGACCAA